CAGAGCAGGCAGGGUGGGGCAGUUAACUCUGUGUUAAGGAGUGGAUAGAUGGCGAAGACCUGCCUCUCAGAAACUGCCAUGUUCAGGUUGAGGGCCUGUGGGUGGAGAUCAGGGAUCGGACCAAUGCAGGACAGCUGGUGGCCACCUUGAUUUGCGGAAUCAAACUCCAUAACCCGAGAUUAGGUCAUAAAGCAGGUCAGAGGAGCUUCUGGGAUAUAAGGAUUUCUUUCCUCUCCUUGCCAGCCCUUGCUUUCUAUGUACUCUCACUCACCACAUGGCCUGACCUUGUCCAAGGAGGACUUUGGCAUCUUGAACAGGAAAUGAGAUACAAGGAAAUGUUGAGAGCCCUCCCUGUUCUUCCAUGUUGUGGGAUCACAGGAGAGACCAGUCACGAGAAAAAAAGUUACUGAGCAAUUGGAAGGCGGCCAAAUGCAUUUGGGAAGGUGCAUCUCCCACCUGCCUGGAAGGCUGCUCUGGUGAGGACUCUCACUCUGAGCGUGUGAGGAGUGCAGCAGAAGUCACCACGUCCUGUCAGGAGGUGUCUUGGUGGGAGGAUGGUACCAGGGCUGCAGAGCAUUACAUGCACCCUCAGCCCACCUGGAAGCUGAGCAUGGCACAGGAGACCCAACAUUCUGCUGAAUACCAGAGGACAGAGAAGAGCAGUCUAAAACCUGUGUCCUUACAGCCUGCAUCCCUCAUCCCUUGCAUCACACCUGGUACAGAUCGCACCAGGGCAGACAUCACGGGAAUGCUGGCCUAACAGCUCAGGGGUGCAAGAGGGCAUGAAUGAGAUUGUGAGAGGGUAAAGUUGACUGAAGAGAUUUUCAAAAUAAUUUGGUACACAGCAGGAUCCACACAAUUCUUUCCCUAACUGCUCCUCCACAGACCCACUGCCAUUUCUCACAUGUCCUGUGCAAAGAGCAUCUUUAUGAGGGAGGAAGAUGGACAGCACCAUUUAAUAUUGUACACAUUUAGAGCCACAGUGCCCAUGUUUCUGUAUUACCCACUGCCAUCUCCUACACUUGAGAAUGAGGUUAUGUCUAUAUCAGGUUCGCAGUCCAACAGAGAAGAAAAAAGUGUUAAAGCAGCCAUGGAUACUGCUUUAAGUGCUGGCACUGAAUUCUCCUCCAAGUGUGUCCAGCUAUUCAGUUAAGGACAUCAUGUGAGCCUUUAAAUUUGGACUCUACCUCAGGUUUAUCCCAAAGAUAAAACUGAAAAUUAAGUGCAAAUCUCAUGAUUUGAAAAAAAAAAAAAAAACAGCCCCAAACAAAUUG
Long non-coding RNA from Numida meleagris (helmeted guineafowl), 1274 nucleotides. RefSeq lists it as uncharacterized. Lineage: Eukaryota; Metazoa; Chordata; Aves; Galliformes; Numididae. The record is from RefSeq and is a predicted model, not a curated record. The transcript is spliced from 2 exons.